This 3082-nucleotide long non-coding RNA is filed under the name Haliotis rufescens (red abalone). Its description in RNAcentral is "uncharacterized LOC125381019". Lineage: Eukaryota; Metazoa; Mollusca; Gastropoda; Lepetellida; Haliotidae. The record is from RNAcentral.
UUCUCCCUCUAAAACUGAGCUAUAUAGUCUUAACGAUAGUUAUAUAACCAUGGUCACAAAAACAAUCAUAACUGAAAACUACUAUUCUCUCACUAAAACUGAGCUAUAUCGUCUUUACGAUAGUUAUAUUACCUUGUCACCAAAACAAUCAUACCUGAAAAUUACUAUUCUCUCACUAAAACUGAGCUAUAUCGUCUUAACGAAAGUUAUAUUACCAUGGUCACCAAACAAUCAUACCUGAAAAUUACUAUUCUCUCACUAAAACUGAGCUAUAUCGUCUUAACGAAAGUUAUAUUACCAUGGUCACCAAACAAUCAUACCUGAAAAUUACUAUUCUCUCACUAAAACUGAGCUAUAUCGUCUUAACGAAAGUUAUAUUACCAAGGUCACCAAACAAUCAUACCUGAAAAUUACUAUUCUCUCACUAAAAAAUUGAGCUAUAUCGUCUUAACGAUAGUUAUAUUACCAUGGUCACCAAAACAAUCAUACCUGAAAAUUACUAUUCUCUCACUAAAACUGAGCUAUAUCGUCUUAAUGAUAGUUAUUUUACCAUGGUAACCAAAACAAUCAUACCUGAAAAUUACUAUUCUCUCACUAAAACUGAGCUAUAUAGUCUUAAUGAUAGUUUUAAUACCAUGGUCACCAAAACAAUCAUACCUGAAAAUUACUAUUCUCUCACUAAAACUGAGCUAUAUCGUCUGAAUGAUAGUUAUUUUACCAUGGUAACCAAAACAAUCAUACCUGAAAAUUACUAUUCUCUCACUAAAACUGAGCUAUAUAGUCUUAAGGAUAGUUUUAAUACCAUGGUCACCAAAACAAUAAUACCUGAAAAAUUACUAUUCUCUCACUAAAACUGAGCUAUAUCGUCUUAACGAUAGUUAUAUUACCAUGGUCACCAAAACAAUCAUACCUGGAAAUUACUUUUCUCUCCCUAAAACUGAGCUAUAUCGUCUUAACGAUAGUUAUAUUACCAUGGUCACCAAAACAAUCAUACCUGAAAAUUACUAUUCUCUCACUAAAACUGAGCUAUAUCGUCUUAACGAUAGUUAUAUUACCUUGGUCACCAAACAAUCAUACCUGAAAAUUACUAUUCUCUCACUAAAACUGAGCUAAAUCGUCUUAACGAUAGUUAUAUUACCAAGGUCACCAAACAAUCAUACCUGAAAAUUACUAUUCUCUCACUAAAACUGAGCUAUAUCGUCUUAACGAUAGUUAUAUUACCAAGGUCACCAAACAAUCAUACCUGAAAAUUACUAUUCUCUUACUAAAAAAUUGAGCUAUAUCGUCUUAACGAUAGUUAUAUUACCAUGGUCACCAAAACAAUCAUACCUGAAAAUUACUAUUCUCUCCCUAAAACUGAGCUAUAUCGUCUUAAUGAUAGUUAUUUUACCAUGGUAACCAAAACAAUCAUACCUGAAAAUAACUAUUCUCUCCCUAAAACUGAGCUAUAUCGUCUUUAAGAUAGUUAUAUUACCAUGGUCACCAAAACAAUCAUACCUGAAAAUUACUAUUCUCUCACUAAAACUGAGCUAUAUCAUCUUAACGAUAGUUAUAUUACCAAGGUCACCAAACAAUCAUACCAGAAAAUUACUAUUCUCUCACUAAAACUGAGCUAUAUCGUCUUAACGAUAGGUAUAUUACCAUGGUCAAAACAAAAAAUAAUACCUGAAAAUUACUAUUCUACCUCUAAAACUGAGCUAUAUAGUCUUAACGAUAGUUAUAUUACCAUGGUCACCAAAACAAUCAUACCUGAAAAUUACUAUUCUCCCACUAAAACUGAGCUAUAUCGUCUACGUUGUACCUUCGUAUCUUUUUCAAUCACCCUGCUACUUUACUUACCAGAUUUGUCGAAAUUAUUCUUUCGUGAAAGGUUUGACCAAAACUGGAGGUAUGAAUGUUUAUCGUCUUUUCCGAAGUAAAUGUCAUAUACCUCAUCAAAUCACUACGCGCAGUUUAUCGUAUAUGUUCUACGUAUGUAUGUGUAUUAAUAAAUGUUAACGAUAGUCAUAUUACCAUAGUCACCAAAAUAAUCACCACUAAACCUUACCGUAUCUCUCAGUAAAUCUAAGCUAUAUCUUCUGCCAUGUACCUUCGCAUCUUUUUUCUGAUCAAUCACCGUGCUAUUUCACUUACCGUAUUUGCUGAAAAUAUUAUGGUGUGAAAAUGAUUAUUUGCCGAAAUUAUUCUGUCAUGAAAAGUUUGACUAAAACUGGAGGUAUGAAUGUUUACCGUCUUUUCCGAAGUAAAUGUCAUAUGCCUCAUGAAAUCACUACGCGCAGUUUACCGUAUAUGCUCUACGUAUGUAUUUGUAUUAAUUAAUAUUAACGAUAGUCAUACUUACCGUAUUUGCCGAAAAUAUUGUGUUGUGAAAAUGAUUACUAAAACUACAUGUGUGAAUGUUUACCUCUUCACCGAAGUCAGUGUCACAUUCCUCAUCAAAUCUGCGCAAUUUACUGGAUAAGCGCUACGUGUGUAUUUUCAUUAAUUCAAUUAAUGUUAGCCAUAGUCUCUCCCUAAAACUUUACCUUUUUCGGGUCAAUCACCCUUCUAUUUUACAUACCGUAUUUACCAAAAGAAUUAUGUUAUGGGGAUUAUAACUUAAAAUACAGGUAUGAAUAAUUACCGUCUUUUCCCAAGUAAAUAUCAUAUUCCUCAUCAAAUCACUCUUCGCAGUGUACCGUAUAUCAUCUAAGUCUGCAUUUGUAUUUACCAAGUCUAUGUCAACGAUAGUCAGAAAUCAUUUAACGUUGUUACCCAAAUAGACACGGCAUAUAACACAAAACAAUGGCAUGUGCAUUGUACCGUAACAUGGUCUAUGAUGAUGUUAUAAUUACUCAAUUUAUCAGUAUUUAUUAUUACAGUAAUUACUCUGAUACUUGUUGCAUACUUUAUAAAAUGACUAUGUGCUCAUUUACCGUAAAUACUCAAAUAUAACAUACAUUGCUUUUAUUCCCAGACAGAUUGAAACUGUUCCAGGAUACUAUUAUGUUAUUAUUAUUGUAUGUCAUUAUUACAUAUGAAUUAAUGUAUUUUGAAUGAUAUGUCGUGAUACUCUUGCUUGAAUAAACCCGAAUCACUCACA